AGAUUAAGUUAUUAAGGGCGCACGGUGGAUGCCUUGGCACUAGAAGCCGAUGAAGGACGUUACUAACGACGAUAUGCUUUGGGGAGCUGUAAGUAAGCUUUGAUCCAGAGAUUUCCGAAUGGGGAAACCCAGCAUGAGUUAUGUCAUGUUAUCGAUAUGUGAAUACAUAGCAUAUCAGAAGGCACACCCGGAGAACUGAAACAUCUUAGUACCCGGAGGAAGAGAAAGAAAAUUCGAUUCCCUUAGUAGCGGCGAGCGAAACGGGAAGAGCCCAAACCAACAAGCUUGCUUGUUGGGGUUGUAGGACACUCUGUACGGAGUUACAAAGGACGACAUUAGACGAAUCAUCUGGAAAGAUGAAUCAAAGAAGGUAAUAAUCCUGUAGUCGAAAAUGUUGUCUCUCUUGAGUGGAUCCUGAGUACGACGGAGCACGUGAAAUUCCGUCGGAAUCUGGGAGGACCAUCUCCUAAGGCUAAAUACUCUCUAGUG
This 489-nucleotide ribosomal RNA is filed under the name Staphylococcus aureus. RNAcentral describes it as "bacterial LSU rRNA". It matches the Rfam family "Bacterial large subunit ribosomal RNA", at positions 1 to 482 of the family's 2925-position model. Lineage: Bacteria; Bacillati; Bacillota; Bacilli; Caryophanales; Staphylococcaceae. The record is from RNAcentral.